GGCAGAUUAGUGAAAUGGUUUAUCACGGCUGACUCAUAUUCAGCAAUUACAAGUUCAAUUCUUGUAUCUGCUA
RNAcentral lists this transfer RNA (73 nucleotides) under Caudoviricetes sp. Its description in RNAcentral is "tRNA-Met". It matches the Rfam family "tRNA". Rfam says of the family: Transfer RNA (tRNA) molecules are approximately 80 nucleotides in length. Their secondary structure includes four short double-helical elements and three loops (D, anti-codon, and T loops). Further hydrogen bonds mediate the characteristic L-shaped molecular structure. tRNAs have two regions of fundamental functional importance: the anti-codon, which is responsible for specific mRNA codon recognition, and the 3' end, to which the tRNAs corresponding amino acid is attached (by aminoacyl-tRNA synthetases). tRNAs cope with the degeneracy of the genetic code in two manners: having more than one tRNA (with a specific anti-codon) for a particular amino acid; and 'wobble' base-pairing, i.e. permitting non-standard base-pairing at the 3rd anti-codon position. Lineage: Duplodnaviria; Heunggongvirae; Uroviricota; Caudoviricetes. The record is from RNAcentral.